RNAcentral lists this ribosomal RNA (523 nucleotides) under Cryptoses choloepi. Its description in RNAcentral is "partial 16S ribosomal RNA". Lineage: Eukaryota; Metazoa; Arthropoda; Insecta; Lepidoptera; Pyralidae. The record is from RNAcentral.
UAAAGUCUAAUCUGCCCACUGAUAUAAUAUUAAAGGGCUGCAGUAUUUUGACUGUACAAAGGUAGCAUAAUCAUUAGUCUUUUAAUUGAAGACUUGUAUGAAWGAUUGGAUGAAAUAUAAACUGUCUCUAAUAUUAUUAGUUAGAAUUUAAUUUUUUUAUUAAAAAGUAAAAAUAAAUUUAAAAGACGAGAAGACCCUAUAGAGUUUUAUAAUUAAUUUAAUUGAAAUUAUUUAUAAAGAUAAUUUUAAAUUAAUAAAUUAAAAUUAAGUUAAUUAUUUUGUUGGGGUGAUAAAAAAAUAAAAAUAACUUUUUUUAAUAAAUAUAUAUAUAUAUAUAUAUAUAUAUAUAUAUAUAUAUUGUAAACAAAAAUAAAUGAUUUUUUGAUCCAGAAUUUUUGAUUAUAAGAAAAAAUUACCUUAGGGAUAACAGCGUAAUUUUUUUUUUUAGUUCAAAUAARAAAAAGAGUUUGCGACCUCGAUGUUGGAUUAAGGAAAAAUUUAAAUGCAAAAGUUUAAAAUUUUG